ACCGAUCGCCCAAGCGGCUAACAAGCCGAUCAGUGGUGAAGAGGAUAAAAGUAAAAGUAAAAAAAGUUUAUAUGGAACUCUGCAUACAUUUAAAUAUUCCCACAAUGUUCCUCAAAAUGCUCAGACCAAAUAAAACUUUCUCAAAAUAAGUACAGUAAAGUAUCACAAAAGAUCAACAUUAAUGUAAAAGGAUAUCCAUGAAAUAGAAACAUAUUUUUUUAUUCUAUCUUAAUGCAAACACAUUCUAUUAUACAUUAAUGUACAGAUUAAAUAAAUUAUAAACUUUUGUUAUUUUUGUUUUAGGUGCGUGAGGCCAAGAGUGCCAAGCCUCGUACCUAGUGAAGCAAACAUGGCGGACUUGGAGUGUAAACAACCAUUUGACAGUCCAGGAAACAACUGGCUGAGCCGUUGGAAGCUUGAAGGACCAGCAACACAUCUCGGUAUGACCAGUACAGACUCAACUGUACACACUGUCCAUGUCCAGACCCAUAUAUUAUGACGGCACCAAUGACAACUGAUGAAACACAGCUGACCUGUGGGAGGUGUUUCGCAUAUUAUCCGAGUCAACAGAAGGAGUUCGUCUUUACGAUCAGCUCCUUCCGACCAUCUCCGAGAUGUCAUCCGGAGAGUUGAAGUUUGCUCUUGCCAUCCGGUCUCUUCUCCAGAGUAUCGUCAGAGGUACAAUGAUUUAUAUUAAGAAUAUCUUCAAUAUAAUUAGCCCUAGCAUUUCAAGUGGAUGAAUGUUUAAUUAGUAAGAAUCAUGAUACCACUUAAAAAGUUGUCAAUUUGCUUUAAAAGGGUAUUUGUGGGGGAUAAAUGUAAAGGUGUACAUAUAAAUGAAAAUAUUGAGUGUUUUAUUAUGAGGUACAGCACAGUACAAGCUUUUAGGUAUGAUUUUGUCACCGCUAAAUCUGCAUUACACAUUUUGUAAUCUACUUUUAUUUCCAAAAUCUGGUUAAACUGUCUGGGUUUUUCUCACAGUAGGAGCAGAAAUAGGCACUCCUUGAUUAAUCACGCCUCCAUCACUGUGUCAAGCUCUGCUGACCUGGCUCUGUCAAUGGAAUGUGGCUGUGUACUAUUUACACUUUGGAGGUCACAUUGAAGCAACACUUAGCAAUGAUAGGGAAUUACGCAGUGCAGUAUAUAUUUUAUUUCAAUAUUGUUGCUGCUAGUGAGUUGUACUAAACAAGUAUCCACUAUGUAUUUCAUAACAUUGUAAUUUGUUUUGGCAUUCUCAAUUUUUGUUUCGGAUAUACUGUAUAUAUAGGGAUGCUGUAAUCUAAAAUUAGGUUUUGCAUACAUCAAGAGUACGUUUGUGGCUCCUCACGAGUUGUACUUGCUCAGAAAUAUAUACUGUACAGUAAUGUUAUAUACAGGUUGCACUUAAAAAAAUCCAAACAUCAUUUAUCCCCAAACUGUGAACAUCCAAAAGUGAUCGCAUUGAUUAUAAAAAUUUACCGCGCUGCCAGAUGAUGGCGUUUCAGCACACUAAGCUAAGAUAUCAUCACCGGGGCAUUUUCUCGUAGUCGGUCACUGAGUUACACCCUCCGACUCGCCGUCACCCGCACUUACGAACGGGAUCCCAAUACAUUCACCUCAAAAAGUUGUAAUUAAACUGUCAUUAUUUUCAUCAUUGUUUAACAGCACUUUAUGUUAUGUAACCUAAAGUAUGGGUCCAGGAACUUAUCCCUGUUGUAAGUUGCGGACGGCCUGUAUUAUUAUUAACAUUAUAUUUUGAGUUCCUUAGUUUAGUGUGUUUGUUAUACCUGUACAUGCAGUAUUAUAUAUUAGUUUAUAGUUGUCAUAUAUGUAGUAUUUUAUUUGGUGCUUAAUGAAAUAUUAGGGUUUUUAAUAAUGACCUUGAGUUAGCCAACAAGUUCAGUUAUCUGAAACAUUUUGGAUUUUUGAAGUGGAACCUAUAUUUCAACUCCCUCCUCCAAAUAUUAAUGUACUAUAGGAACAGAAAUGGUUGAUUUAAAUUAUUGCUCCAAACUGCACCACACCAUAGUGCCAUCUUUGGCAUAUACAGUAAAUGAACUUUUGUAAACUGUACUGUACAUAUUUAAUGUCACAUGAUGUGACAAUGUUUGUUUUGUCAAGUGCAUGUCAUUAGUGUAACGGUCGGUGCCAAAUCAUCGUUAUUUGGCGCCAUUCAUUUUUAGAUAUACCUGUAUCUCAUUUAUGAGACAUUGUUUAUCUAAGCCAAGAGUUGUUACGUCUUGCAUAUUUCAUCUCCGUCGUCAGAAAAUGUAACGGCGCGAUGUUGAGCAAUUUGUUGCCAGACUAUGGAUGAUAGAUAGGAUCUGUACAUAUCAUAUUAAGUCUUCAACACAAGAUAUUUAUUGUCAACUCUAAAUUAAAUAUGUUGUGAAUAAAACUUUUCAAUUUGUGUUACCAAAGUGAGAAUAAAAGAUUGUCUCCGGCCA
Molecule: long non-coding RNA, 2426 nt
Filed under: Homarus americanus (American lobster)
Lineage: Eukaryota; Metazoa; Arthropoda; Malacostraca; Decapoda; Nephropidae
Description: uncharacterized LOC121858815
Source: RNAcentral